CUCUACUUAUAGGGAAAAAUUGACCACCAAGUAACAAAUCCUAAAAUAUCUCUAAACUAUAGACAUUCACGUCAAAUAAAAUUCUAUUUAUAACAGAUCAUGCUUAUUGUAUUUUAAAAUAAAAAUCAUCACAUCCACAAACCUCAUAAUGCGAUUAGCAUGCACUUCUUCGGCUACAUCAGUCAUGUUUAUAGUCGUCAAUAUGGGCUUGGCCCGUUUGACCAUCCCAGCCCAACCCAAUCAACAUGUAAUUUAGUAGGGCUGUGCUAGAAUUUUUGAAGCCCAUUUAAAUAUGAGGCUAUUAAGCCCAGCCCGAGUAAGUGCGUAGCCCAUGAGGCUUGAGUGAGGCUGGGUUUAGCCGGCCCGUGGGCCUAAUAAAAAUACAACAGCAACAACAAUAACAACCAAGUAUAAUCCCACUUAGUGGGGUCUGGGUAAGGUAGUGUGUACGCAGGCCUUACCCCUACCCUAGGGUAGAGAGGCUGUUUCCAAAUAGAUACUUGACAUCCUUCCCUCCAAGAACUUCCCACCUUGCUCUUGGGGAGUGCUCUUGGGGAGACUCGUUCUCACAACCUCUUGGUUGGAAG
RNAcentral lists this long non-coding RNA (587 nucleotides) under Nicotiana benthamiana. RNAcentral describes it as "long non-coding RNA (NBEN_LNC012237)". The record is from RNAcentral. Lineage: Eukaryota; Viridiplantae; Streptophyta; Magnoliopsida; Solanales; Solanaceae.